Callithrix jacchus (white-tufted-ear marmoset) is the source of this 11992-nucleotide long non-coding RNA. RefSeq lists it as uncharacterized. NCBI's taxonomy places the organism in Eukaryota, Metazoa, Chordata, Mammalia, Primates, Cebidae. The record is from RefSeq and is a predicted model, not a curated record.
AGUCCCCCACGUGCCUGGAAGCCUGUGGACAGAGGAUGGAGAACUCGGAGUCUCCUUUGUGCCUGGGUUUCCCAUGGGCCCUGCCCGAGGAGAGGGUGCCCCAAGCCUGAGGCGCUCUCCCUGCCUGCCUGCUCUGUGGCGCUGUGGGGCACAGUCCUGAGGCUGCAAGAAGGCGCUGGCUGCUCCGCGCCUAAUCACGGCGUCCUCCCUCCCUGGACCCCUCACCUGCGUUCCUGCCUCCACCCUGGGCCUGAGUCGCGCCCCUGCCCUGCCCAGGGCUGGGAGUCGCUCCCAAAUCGGAGCUCAUCCUCUGUGCCUCCUCCGGAACCUGCGUGUCCGUGCCUCCCGUGCCCCUCCAGUCUCAGGUGGGCUUAGAAGAAGCAGAUGCCCUGAUUCCAGCCAUGGAGACCUGAGGUUGCCUCUGCAAUGCCUGGAAUUUUGGCAGCCAUCUUGGGAUCAUGAGAAAAGUCAGCCUGAAGGAAACGUGCUGAGAAGGACAAAGGAGAAAGGCGAAGGGCCUGAAAGUGGCUGUGGGAAGCUUCUUUGGUCUAUUCCCUCUCCUGAGAGUCCACGAAAUGUGAGAUGGGGGUCACUUCUCAGCUGAGUGUGCCCCCCAGUGACUGCUGGGCUCCAGCUUCUCCUGCAUGCAGCAAGGCUUGGAAGCCCCUCAGCCCCGCCACACUCUACUCACCUUCAUCCAGUGCAGCUACACAGGGCAUGGUCCAGCCACAAGCUCAUCUGUUCCAGACACCACCCGAGGCCCCUCAAUCUGACCACAUCUAGAUCAGAGGCUGCCAAGGAGGCUCAAGACUGCAUAGACUUGAAUGGCAGGGGACAAGCUCAGGAUGGCCUGAGACCUGAUUUUAUUUUUUAUGGGACUAUGUAGUGUACAAUGUGAUGUUUUGAUAUAAGUAUGCAUUUUGAAAUGAUUACAUUGGGCCAAUUAAGUUUUUGAUCACUUCACAUACUUAUCAUUUUGGGGGGGUGCUGAGUGCAUUUAGGAUCUACUUUCAGUAAUUUUCAAGUGUACAUACAUUAUUAUUAACUAAUAAUGCACCUUAUAUACCAUUCCAUAAAAUAGAUCUCCAGAACUUAUUUAUCCUGUCUCUUUGACCAACAUCUCCCUAUCCUCCUCAUCCCCUAGUCCCUAGCAAUGACCAUUGUUCUCUCUGCUUCUAUAAGGUCAACUUUUUAGAUUCCACAUAUAAGUGAGGUCAUGUAGUAUUUGUUUUUCUGUUACUGACUUAUUUCACUUAGCGCGAUGUCCUCCAGGUUCAUCUAUGGCAGGAUUUUCUUCUUUUUUAGGUCCGCAUUGUACCAUGUGUCUAUUUUCCAUGUUUUCUUUAUCCAUUCAUCUGUUGAUGGAUACUUAGGUUGAUUUCAUAUCUUGGCUAUUGUGAACAAUGCUACAAUGAAUGAGGGUAGAUAUCUCUUCACCAUAUUGAUUUCACUUCCUUUGGGCAUAUACCUGGAAAUGAGAUUGUCGGAUCAAAUAGUAGUUCUAUUCUUAGUUUUCGAGAAAACUCUAAACUAUUUUCAAUAAUGGCUGUACUAAUUCACUGUUGUUCAUCAACAGUGUACAAGGGUUCCCUUUUCUCCAUAUCAUUGCUAGUACCUGUUAUCUUUUAUCUUUUUUAUAAUAGCCGUUCUAACAGGUGUGAGAUGAUAUCUCAUCUUAGUUGUCAUUUGCAUUUUCCUGAUUAGUGAUGUUGAGUACUUUUCAUACACCUCUUGACCAUUUUUAUGUCCCUUUUGAGAAAUGCCUAUUCAGAUCCUUCAGCCACUUUUAAAUCAAGCUAUUAGUUUUCUUGUUAUUGAGUUAUUUGAAUUCCUUAUGUAUUUUGGAUAUUAAUUCAUUAUCAGAUAUAGAGUUUGCAAAUAUUUUCUCCUAUUCCAUAGCUUGCCUCUUCACUCUGUUGAUUGUUUCCUUUCCUGUGCAGAAGCUAUUAAGUUCAAUGCAAUUUCUUUGAUCUAUUUUACUUAUGUUUUCUGUGCCAUUGGGGCCAUAUCCAAAAAAAUCCUUUUCCAGACCAGGACCCUGGAGCUUUCCCCCUGUUUUCUUCUAGUAGUUUUACAGUUUCAGAUCUUACAUUAAGUUUUUGAUUCAUCUUAAAUUGAUUUUUGUAUGUGGUAUGAGAUGAGGGUCUAAUUUUAUUCUUUUGCAUAUGGAUUUCACAGCAUCAUUUAUUGAAGAAACUGUUCAUUCUCUAUUUUAUGUUCUUGGCAACUUUGUCAAAGAUCAAUUGACCACAAAUGCAUGAAGUUAUGUCUGGGAUCUUUAUUCUUUCCAUUGGCAUCUGUAUCUCUUUUUAUGCCACUAACAUGCUGUUUUGAUUACUAUAGCUUUUUAGUAUAUUUUGAAAUCAGGUGCUGUGAUGUUUCCAGCUUUGUUUUUAUUCCCUCAAGAUUGUUUUGGCUCUUUCGGGUCCAUACAAAUUUUAAGAUUUUUCUUUCCCUUUCUGUGAAAAAUGACACUGGGAUCCUUGCAGGGAUUGAAUUGAAUCUGUAGAUUGCUUGGGUAGUUUGGACAUUUUAACAAUAUUAAUUUUUCCAAAGCAUGGACCAACUAUCCUUCCAUUUAUUCAUGUCUUCUUCAAUUUAUUUCCUCAAUGUAUUACACUUUUCUGUGUAGAGAUUUUUCAAUUUUUUUGAUUAAAUUCAUUCCUAAGUAUUUUAUUAUUUGUAAUGUCAUUGUAAAUCAGAUUGCUUUCUUAAUUUAUUUUUUAGACAAUUUAUUGUUGAUAUAUAGAAAUACAACUGAUUUUUGUAUUUUGAUUUUGUAUUCUACAAGUUUUCUAAAUUUAUUUAUUCUAAUGGUUUUGGGGUGGAUUCUUUUAAGGUUUUCUAUAUAUAAGAUCAUGUCAUCUGAAAUCAUGCCAACUGGAACAGACAAUUUAACUUUUUUCAUUCCAAUGUGGAUGCCUUUUAUUACAUUUUCUUGCCUUAUUGCUUUGGUUAGGACUUUCAGUACCAUGUGGAAUAGAAGUGUCAAGGAUGGGCAUCCUUGUAUUGUUCCUGUUCUUAGAGGAAAAGCUUUCAGCUUUUCACCCUUGAAUGUGAUAUUAGUUUGGGCCUGUCAUAUAUGGCCUUUAUUAUGUUGAGAUACAUUCUUUCUAAACCUAAUUUGUUAAGAGGUUUUUUUUUUAAUCAUGAAAGAAUGUUAAAUUUUUUUGAAUACUCUUGUCACCUAGGCUGGAGUGCAAUGGCACAAUCACGGCUUACUACAACCUCUGCCUCCUGGGUUCAAGUGAUUCUCCCACCUCAGCCUCCUGAGUAGCUGUAAUUACAGGUGUGUGCAAUGAUGUCCAGCUAAUUUUUGUAUUAUUAGUGGAGACAGGGUUUCACUAUGUUGGCCAGGAUGGUCUUGAACUCCUGACCUCAGAUGAUCCACCUGCCUCAUCCUCCCAAAGUGCUGGGGUUGCAGGUAUGAGCCACCAUGCCUGGCUUUGUUGAACACUUUUUAUGCGUUCAUUGAGAUGUUCAUAUGAUUUCUGUUAAUGUGGUGUGUCACAUUUAUUGAUUUGUAUAAAUUGAACCAUACUUGUAUCCCACAGAUAAAUCCCACUUAAUCAUGAUGAAUGAUCUUUUUAAUGUGUUGUUGAAUUCUGUUUGUGAGUAUUUUGUUAAGGAUUUUUGCAUCUAUGUUCAUCAGGGAUAUUGGCUCAUUAUUUUAUUUUAUCGUUGUGUUCUUAGCUGGCUUUGAUAUGAUGGUAAUGGUGGCCUCAUAAAAUGGAUUUGGAAGUAUUUCCUUAUUUUCAAUUUUUUGGAAGAGUUUGAGAAAGGUUGGCAUUAAUUAUUUUUUAAAUGCUUAGUAGAAUUUGCCUAUAAAGCCAUCUGGUCCUGGAAUUUUCUUUGUUGGGAGGUUUUACAUUACUGAUUCAAUUUCUUUACAUGUUGUUAGUCUGUUCAGCUUUUCUAUUUCUUCAUGAUUCAGUCUUGGUAGAUUGCAUGUCUCUAGAAAUUUAUUAAUUUCUUCUAAGUUAUCAAAUUUGCCGGUACAUAAUUGUUCAUAGUUGUCUUUUAGCAUCUUUGUAUUUUUGUGGCAUCCGUUAUAAUAUCUCCUUUCUCAUUUAAAACUUUGUUUAUUUGAUUCCCCCCCUCUCUCUUUUUGGUUAGUCUAGCUAUGUUUUCAACUUCAUUUUUCCCAGAAAGCAUCUGUUAAUCUUAUUAAUCUUUUCUAUUGUCAUUAUAGUCUCUAUUUCAUCUCUAAUCUUUAUUUCCUUCCUGCUGUUGACUUUGGGUUUUAGUUUUUCUUCUUUUUCUAGUUCCUUGAGGUGUAAAGUUAGGGUGUUUACUUGAGACUUUUGUUUAAAAAAUAGGCAUUUACUACUCUAGAUGGCUCCAUAAAAAUAUUUUUGCUGCAUACCAUAAGUUUUGGUAUGUUAUGUUUCCAUUUUUAUUUGUCUCAAGAUACUUAUUGAGUUCCCUUUUUAUUUCUUCUCCAAUUUAUUGGUUGUUCAGUAGUGUGUUGUUUAAUUUUGUGUCCCAGCAUAUGAUCUAGCCCAGAGAAUGUUUCAUGUGUUCUUGAGAAGGAAAUAUAUUUCACUGCUGUUUUGUAGAAUGCUCUAUAAAUGUCUAUUAGGUCCAUUCAGUUUACAUGUUAUUCAAGGCCACUAUUUUCUUAUUAAUUUUCUGUCUGGAUGACAUAUUUAUUGUUCAAAGUAAAGUAUUGAAGUCCCCUAGUAUUUCUAUAUUGUCCAUUUCUCCCUUUAACUCUAUUAAUAUUUGCUUUAUAUAUUUAGAUUCUUCAAUGUGGAGUGCACAAAUAUUUACAAUUAUUGUAUCCUCUUGAUGAAUUGACAGCCUUAUCAUUAUAUAGUGACCUUUUUUUGUCACUUGUGACAGGUUUUUGACUGAAGGUCUAUUUUGUCUUGUAUUAGUAGAGGCACUUCUGCUUUCUUUUGGUUAUCAUUGGCAUGGAAUAUCUUUUCCAUCCCGUCACUUUCAGUCUCUAUGUGUCCUCAAAGCUAAAAUGAGCCUCUUGUGGUCAGCAUGUUGUUGGAUAUUAAUUGUUGUUUUAAAAAUUCAUUUAGCCAUACUGUGUCUUUUGAUUAGAAAAUUUAACUCAUUUACAUUUAAAGUAAUUAUUGAUGUGGAAAGAAUUACUAUUGCCAUUCUGUUUAUUGUAUUUGAACUGUUUUGUAGUUCUUUUGCUCUGUUCUCUCUUGCUGUCUUCCUUUGUGAUCUGCUGAUGUUUUUUUUAUCCAUAUGUUUUGAUUCUUUUUUCUUUAUUGUUUGUGUACCUACUACAGAUCUUCUCAUUGUGUUUCCAUGAAGCUCACCUAAAAUAUCAUAUGGUUAUAAUAUCUAUUUUGAUCUUAUAACAAUUUUAAUUGCAUAUAAACACUACAUUUUACCUCUUCACUGCUCCCCCUUGUUUUAUGCUAUGGGUGUCAUACUUUACAUCUUUUUAUAUUGUGUAUCCAUUAGCCAAUUACUAAAUCUAUGGGUUUUAAAAUAGUCUUGUUUUUAACUUUUACACUAGAGUUAAAAGUGACUUAUAUGUCAUCAUUAUAGCAUUAGAAUAUUCUUAAUUUGACUAUAUAUUUGUUUUUGCCAGUAAGUAUUAUACUUUCAUAUGUUUUUAUGUUGUUACUUAGCAUCACUUUUUUUCAACUGAAAGAAUUUUCUAUAGUAUUUCUUAUAAGGCAGAUCUCAUGGAGAUAAAGUACCUCAGCUUUUAUUCAUCUGGGCAAACCAAAUUGUCUCAGACAAAUAAAAGCUGAGGGACUUUAUCCUUUAGAUGUGAGUGUUGAAAGGAUAGAGGGACCUUAUUCUUCAGAAAUGAAAGCUUUGCUGAGUGUAGUGCUCUUGGUUGGCAGGGUUUUUUCUUCAGUACUUUAAAGAUAUUGUCUAAUUCCCAGCUAGUUUCCAAGUUUUCUGCUGAGGUGUCCUCUGAUAGCUUUAUGGAGUUUCCUUGUAAUUGAUGAGUCUCUUUUCUUAUGCUGCUUUUGGGAUUCUCUUUGUCUUUUGACAAUUUGAUUAGAAUGUUCCUUGGGAUAUUCUUCUUUGGGUUGAUUUUUGUUGGGAUCCUUUGAGCUUCAUGGAUCUGGAUGUCUCUCUCAAGAUUUGGAAACUUUUUUCUUUUAAAGCCAGUAUUUAUUUAAAUAAGCUUUCUGUCCCUUUCUCUCUCUCUUCUCCUUCUGAAACUCCCAUAAUUUGUAUAUUUAUCCCCUUGAUAGUGUCCCAUAGGACUCUUAUGCUUCACUCUUUUCUAUUCAUUUUUCUUUCUGCUUCUCUUGUUGGCUAUUUUCAAAUGACCUGUCUUUGGGUUUACUAAUUAUUUAUUCUGCAUGAUUGAAACUGGUGUUGAAACUCUCUUGUAUUUUUUAGUUCUUUCAUUAUAUUCUUUAGCACCAGUAUUUCUGUUUGGUUCUUUUUAAUGGUUCCUGUUUGUUUAUUAAACUUCUCAUUUUUGUUUAUGCAUUGUUUUUCUUAUUUCAUUUAGUUGUCUGUAUUGUCUUGCCUCUCACUGAGCUUCUGUAAGAUGUUUAUUUUGAAUUAUUUUUCAGGCAGUUUAUAGACAUUCAUUUCUUUGGGGCCAACCACUAAAGCUUUAUUAGUUUCUUUGGUGGUGUCAUACUUGCUUGAUUCUUUGUCAUCUGUGUAGCCUUGUGUUGGUGUCUAGGAAUUUGAAAGAGGAAACACCUCUUUAGUCUUUAUAGACUAGUUUUGGCAGAUGAAGACCUCCCACUGGGUCCCUGACCUCAUGGGACUGCUUCUAGUGUUGUCGCCAAGUGGGAUUUCACCUGAGUCAUGUGGAUGCUGUUGGGUCUGCAGUGGAGUCUGCAGCCAGUGGGCUCUUGUCCUGGCAAAAAAAUCAGCAGCCUGUUACCAGGGGUUUUAAGGAUUGUAGAUCUUGUCUGGUCCCUGGGUGGACUGGAUUGCCUUUAGGACCUUGGUAAGUAGGGGCUGGUGCUGGGAUGGGAGUCUGAUUCAGGGUCCACAGAUAGUGGGUCUGUUACUAAGUAUGUGGAUAGGUCUGUCUUCCUUCAAGUUCCUUGGAAGCCUUCAACUGAGUCAGUGGAUGGGUCCCUGGGCAGGCAGUACUGGCCUCAGGUCAUGGCUGAGAGGGGCUGGAACUGAGUUAUAAACAUGUUUAAGAGUCCACAGCCGAGAUUAAGGUCUGCAGGCUUGUCUCUGGUGGUACAGACAAGCAGGUCUCCCUCUGGCCCUUGGGAUGACAAGACAGUGCUUUGAGACAACAGUGGAGAGGAACUGGAGCCAAGUUACAAGAUUGUUUCAAGAUCUGCAGUGGCACUGGGCUUGGUGAGUCUACCUACAAUGGCAUGGGCAGGUAAAAGUGAUUUCAUGACAUGCUUUCUGUAUUUUCGGCUAAUCGGUUUUUACUUUUUAAAUAGAUUUUCUCUUUUGUUUUUAAUAUUUUAAUUUGUUUCACUAGGUAUUGGAGUAGGAGAUUCUGGGAUCCUGCUUUAUUUUAUUGUAUUUACCAAAAUUUCUGCUUGGCCAGCCUCUGUAGCCAUUUUUCCUGAGCAAGGCACUUUGUCACAAACCCUAUCAGAAAGGUGCCUAUCUCAAGCAAAGCAGAGGUAUAUCUGCUGUCACUCUUCAGCUUUGCAUCUUAAAAAGUAAAAAAUCUGGAAGCUGCAGUUUCUUUACCAGCACUAGGCCUGUUACUGGGGGCAACAGACCAUCAUGCCACAUUUACCCUGAGUUAUAGGACAUUCUUCUGUAAUUCUUGCUUGUUACAAAACAAAGCAGAAUUGUGUGAGUUUAACUCAGCAUAAGUGUUUACUGUAUUUUUUUUAAAUGAAACUUAUUUAUGAAAAACAGUUUUAGUGCAAUGGAUCAGAACAAUGUUUUUAGAAUCAGACAGAGCUAGGUCUGAAUCCUGGUCCUGUAUUUUACUAACUGUGUCUGUAAGUAUUCAAUGGGUUCUUAAUUAAGGAAAAGAACAUUGGCAAGUUAUGUUGUUUCCCCAAACCUCAAAUUCUUUCUCUACAAAAUAAGGAUAAUAAUAGUACUACUUCAGCUUUUGUAACAGGGAUUAAAAGAGAUCAUUCAUGUGAAGUGCCUGAUGUAGGGCUUGGCGCAUAUCAAAGUCACCAUUUAGAUCAAGAUUUAAAGAAAUGAAACCCUCAGGCACACUUAUGUGCAUCAUUCAUUAACUUAGAUUGUUUGCCAAUAAUUAUUGCUUGAUUUAAUCCCAGUUUUCUCACAAACUUGAGCAAACCUAACAUAAUAAGAUGCUUGUAAAUCUUUAAGUCUGUGCCAGAAUUGCAGCUGCUCAUCCAUAGCUAGGGCUAUGUCAGCAAUUGCUAACCUCCUUCACUUCUGGCUCAAUACAUUUAAAUCUGAGUUCUCCUUUACCCUGUGUACAGGAGAAAAAAAGGGCUCCCUUUUUCCAACUGCUCUGUUUCAUCAGUGUUACCCUCUUUCCUCCAAUUUCCAAACUUACAAAAUGCACUGUUGGCUUUCCUCUCCUGUGUGUAGUCUUACAUUUAAUCUACACAGUCUGACCAGGUGUUCUGUCUCAGACGUCUCUCACUCUUGGGUACACGAGCUUUGCUUCCCCAGCAAAGCUGUAGAGUAGGGCUCGUGUCUCUUCUCUAGAAUUCCCCAGAGCUCCCAUCCAGAGAUAGACAUGCUGUAGGUGCUUGGGAAAUGCUCACUGACUGAGGACACUGUGAGCUACCAUGACCAUCUAUCUUAUCUGGAAUAGUUUCCCUUUCACUCUCCAUCCUCUUGCCCUGACUACUUUCUUCAUAUUGCUCAUGACUACUUGAUGUGAGAUGUUUACUCUUUGUCAAUUGCCUGUUUGGGUCUCAGGGUACAGAAGCACCAUAAGGACAGCAGCACCAUCUGUUUUGUUCCCUGCUCUAUCUCUAUCAUCUGUAAGAUUUGCUCAGCACAGAGUAGAUUUUCAGUAAACAUGUGUGAAAUGAACAGAGGCCCCAAAGUCCACCACUAUGGAAAUUUGGUUACAUGUUCAACAUUGGAUUCUGAGAGGAAGUCCCUAGUAAGUUUUUUGUGCAAAUGCCCGUGCUUUAUCAAAUGGUAUAAAGUGGUGGCCAAAGGAAAGAGGGAGAGAGGAGAGAGACAGAGAGAGAGGGGCAAAGAACACACACAUACACACACAUGCACACACACACACAGAAUUGCACUAGUUAAUUGUAUCUAGUGACAAGUCACUUGGAGUCAGCUCAAUACCUUUUUACCUGUCUGAUGGCCUAAUCAAAGUCUGCCUUCCUUAAUCCCAUUCGCCAUCCCUCACAUUGAUCCGAAACCAGAGAAGAGAGAAGAGCACAGGCCCUGGGGCAAAGUGAAUGCAAUUAACAGCCCUGUGGCUUCAUUUCAAAGCUGUCACCCAGCAGUUUGCCCUAAUGCAGCAGAUUUUUUUUCCCUCUGGGCUAUUUCUCUUUUCACCUUUCCUUCUGCAAUUCAUAUUUUGAACAGCAAGCAGGCCAAAAACUUAUAAAAAGAAACUGUUUACACCAGGGAUUCCCAAACUUUUGGAAGUCAUGGAACCUUGGUUUAAAGAAAAUUCAUGGCAGAUGGAGACUUUACAGUUAUAUCUAGAGGUCACAGAUAUUUAUUGGGCACUUUCUACUCACACCAAUUUUUUUUUAGGCUCAGAGAGGUAAAGACAGUUGCUACAGGUCACACAGCUAAUAAGUGGUAGAGCUGAGAUUUGAACCCAAGUCCUGGUUUUUGGCACAGGACUCUAGUCUCUUACACCCAAGAUUUCUUCUUGGGCCAUGAGAAGAAGGUCCAUGCAAGGCCCAAAGUGCCUCCCAUGUGCAAGCAUCAACUCAGGACACAUGAGGAAUGGGUGGCAGAGAUAAGGGCAGGCAGGGCUUCUAGAUCCAGGCAUCCUCCCUGGCCAGUCCAGACGGGUCUGCCAGUUCCUUUCAAAUCUGACUCAAAAGGUCAAAUAUUAACCAUGGAGUGACUGAAGGAACUUGUUCUAGAAAGGCUGGGGGGAGGGUAGCAUUUGGUGUUUCUCACUAAGCUAUACUUUCAGCCAUCCUAGUCAAUUCCAUGGCAGCAUUGAGUGGGCCAAGCGGGGAGGAACUGAUCUGUAAAUGGCAGAGAACAGUCAAUUGCAAUGUAUGGCAGGAGGGGCUGCCCAGGGCAAUAAGACUGGAACCGGGUAUGGACUCCUUUGGAGGCUGCCUUCCCUGGAUCUGCAUUAUGGGCUUCUCUGCUGGCUGGCCCUGAGAACCCGGAUGAACUUUAGGGCUGGUUGGGGAUUCCCCUAGCUAGCUGCAAUUCAGUCGAGGUCCUUCUGGAGUAGCAGCUGGCCAAGGUGAUGUGCCAGGCCUUCUAGGAAAGCACAUGCAGCUUCCCCACUUGGCUCCUGGAUAGAGGGCAGCCAGGUACAGCAAGAGUAGGAGACAGGGUGCACACGGAUGGUAGAAGGAGCGCAGAGGUCAUAUGCCAUGGCAUUAAAGGAGAGUCCCUCCAUUACUCUGGAGAGCUCUCUUGCUUCCCCUGAGAGGGUUUGUGUAUGGGGAGGUAGGAUGAGCAGAAUGGAGGCUCCUGACAUCUGCAACGACCUGGUGUGAGGUCUGCAAAAAAAUCUUACAUUUUUCUUGCUACCCUAGAGAAUGUCCUGGUGGGUCUUUCUUAAGUGGUUUUUAACACCUUUAGGCCUACCAGCCCAGGACACUGCAGGGGUGGAAGCCACAGCGGCUGUCACAGGGUGUAUUCUAGAUUCAUAAAUGCAUGGAUUGUGUGCUCACUGGGGGUCAUAAGGGAUGCGGACCAACAACAUGGCCAAGGAGCAUGGCCCUCUUAGUGUUGGUUGAAACAAAUGGUUACUACUUUUCACUCCUGCCUGAAGCCUUGCCUUUUGCCUGUGACUUUGCAGCACCUCCCAUCAAGAGAUGAGUCUAUUUUCCUACCCUGUGAGCCAAGACUUGGCCAACAUAAUGUGAUGGGAACUAUAGAGUGCCACCUCUGAGCUAGAUUUCAAGAGACUAUACUCACUCCACUUGCUUUUGGAUGCCUGUGCCUGUCGCUUGGACAACCCUGGGCCAGCCCACCAGAGAGUGAGCCAUCCAGGGCCUGCUACUCCUGCUGCUCCAGCUGAUGGGAGUGAGGCCACUGCAGGCCAGCCAGCUUCCUGGUCCCCCACUCAUUGACUACAGACACAGAGCGAACCAGCCAAGUUCAGACAGACCUGGCCCAAACCACAAGCAUUUCCCAGCCAACUCCCCAAUGUCUGUGGCAAAAAUAAUUGGUGAUUGUUUUAAGUCAUGAAGUUUUGGGGCAGUUUGUUCCCCAGCAAUAGCUAGUGGCAUGGUCUGAAGUAUUUUUAGAUGUGCUCCAUGCUGGUCUGUGGGGUGGUUGGCAGGGCAAAAAUGGGCAUGAUAUGAAGAGCCCUGAGUGUCUCAUAAAAAUAUGAGAUGGUGGGUAUGAGGAGAUUGUACUUUAACUGGUGCUGAAUGCAGAGAAGGUCCCUGCUUCAGUUCAGGAGACAAGACAGUGGGGGAGGAAAAUGUAUGCCCAAGACAGACUCCAAAUGUUACCUUCUUAUUACACAAGACAAGAAAUACAUCAAUAUGCUCUUUUAAGACAAUUGAAAGAUUCCAGAUAAACCCCAAAUUCCCUUUGACCAACGCUUACUCUCAUGCAUUCCCCAAAGCAAUUACUCUUAUGAAGCUGGUGGUGUCCUUCCAGACCUCAAAAAUAUUCUUCCAUGUUGAUAUGGGUAGAUGUAGAUUUAAGUUCAAUUUUUAAAUUGUACAAUAGUCUAUUGCAUGAGCAUAAGAUGUUAAGAACAUCUUAGUUAGCUGUUCUCCAGUUGUUGGAAAUACCCUUAUUUCCAGCGUCCACUUGCAACAUCCCUGUAUGUGCCUCCUUAGGCACCAGGGGUUCUCUGGGGAACCAAAACCAGAAGUAAAGUUGCUGGGCCCUGAGACACAUGCAUUUUCACAGGGCACAAGAACGAACAAUUUCCUUUCACCUUGACAGCACAUGAGAUUAUCAAAAUAUUUUUUGCCAAUUACAGAGGUGAAUAAAGAGA